This 594-nucleotide long non-coding RNA is filed under the name Homo sapiens (human). RNAcentral's name for it is "HSALNT0314399". Lineage: Eukaryota; Metazoa; Chordata; Mammalia; Primates; Hominidae. The record is from RNAcentral.
AGGGAGGGCGCGGGGCCGGGCUGCUGGGUCCGAGCUCUGGGCACGAUGUCCUCCCUGACGCCGCCAGGACAGCGCCUGGCCCAGGCCUGGGCCUGGUGAACGCGGGUUUCUUCCUCUGAGGUUCAACACUCCGCACUUGGGUUGGCUCCUUUCAUCCUGAUUGGUUUAUUCGCCACGUGCCAAGCACUGAAGAGGGCGUGCAGGAUGGAUACUUUUGGAGCAAAAAUAGCCCUGCUUCUUUCCUGGGGAGGGAUCGCACUUUCUAGAGGGGCGGUUUUCAAAGUAUGGUCUCAGGACUAGCAGCAUCGAAAAUGCUGGGAACUCGUUAGAAAAGUACUGUUCCACGCACUUGACACCAAUCCACCCAUUUCACCUGCAUGAUCACCCUGCCUUUGCAUGAGUUGCCGGUGUGGACAGAGCAGGGACACAGUGAGACAGCGGAUUCCAGCUUUGCUCUUACCUAGAACACACUGCCUCUCACCAGGAAUCGUCCUUCCAUUUUAUGCAGUUAUCCCAGACAAUGAUGCACAAGCUUUGGGAAAAAAACCCCACAAGUCCAAAGGUGUACUUCAUAAUAAAGGCAAGUUAUCUGUC